Long non-coding RNA from Megalops cyprinoides (Indo-Pacific tarpon), 230 nucleotides. RefSeq lists it as uncharacterized. The record is from RefSeq and is a predicted model, not a curated record. The transcript is spliced from 3 exons. Lineage: Eukaryota; Metazoa; Chordata; Actinopteri; Elopiformes; Megalopidae.
CUCGGGUAUUCCCUCUGAUCUCCUACACAUUUUCAGCCAUUCACAGGUUCGGCGUCCACUGCCUCUAACCAGUUAGCUGUGGAACUGCAUCAGCUCUCCAACAAAACCUCCCAAAAAGUGAGUGGGUGAAAGGAUCAAACCAGCUGGAGACCUUUUUUUCCAGAAGAGGGGGAUGUCGUCAAUGUUUUGCACUUUUACAAUAAACUUUAACGAAAAGGGAUAAUGAGAAG